This 241-nucleotide unclassified non-coding RNA is filed under the name plant metagenome. Its description in RNAcentral is "partial contains small subunit ribosomal RNA, internal transcribed spacer 1, and 5.8S ribosomal RNA". The record is from RNAcentral.
UUUCCGUAGGUGAACCUGCGGAGGGAUCAUUCACUAUAAGUGUUUUAUGGCACUUUGUAAACCAUCCACUUCCACCUAGUGUGCAAAGAUAUGAGAUCCUCUAUCGUUAUCUUUUAUGCUACGGAAGGGGGAACCGCUACAACUUACCAACAUUACCUUUAACUUAUUUGUCAGAACGUUUGUUAUCACGAAUUAACUUAAUUCGAAAAAACAACUUUCAACAACGGAUCUCUUGGCUCUC